UACAGAGGGUGCGAGCGUUAAUCGGAAUUACUGGGCGUAAAGCGCGCGUAGGCGGCUUUUCAAGUCGAUUGUGAAAUCCCCGGGCUUAACCUGGGAACUGCAGUCGAGACUGUCUAGCUAGAGUAUGGGAGAGGUAAGUGGAAUUUCAGGUGUAGCGGUGAAAUGCGUAGAUAUCUGAAGGAACAUCAGUGGCGAAAGCGACUUCCUGGACCAAUACUGACGCUCAUGUGCGAAAGCGUGGGGAGCAAACAGG
Molecule: ribosomal RNA, 253 nt
Filed under: uncultured bacterium
Lineage: Bacteria
Description: partial 16S ribosomal RNA
Rfam family: Bacterial small subunit ribosomal RNA
Source: RNAcentral